AGUGAACGCUGGCGGCAGGCCUAACACAUGCAAGUCGAACGGCAGCACAGGAGAGCUUGCUCUCUGGGUGGCGAGUGGCGGACGGGUGAGGAAUGCGUCGGAAUCUGCCUAUUUGUGGGGGAUAACGUAGGGAAACUUACGCUAAUACCGCAUACGACCUACGGGUGAAAGUGGGGGACCGCAAGGCCUCACGCAGAUAGAUGAGCCGACGCCGGAUUAGCUAGUUGGCGGGGUAAAGGCCCACCAAGGCGACGAUCCGUAGCUGGUCUGAGAGGAUGAUCAGCCACACUGGGACUGAGACACGGCCCAGACUCCUACGGGAGGCAGCAGUGGGGAAUAUUGGACAAUGGGCGCAAGCCUGAUCCAGCCAUGCCGCGUGAGUGAUGAAGGCCCUAGGGUUGUAAAGCUCUUUCACCGGUGAAGAUAAUGACGGUAACCGGAGAAGAAGCCCCGGCUAACUUCGUGCCAGC
Molecule: ribosomal RNA, 470 nt
Filed under: uncultured Lysobacter sp.
Lineage: Bacteria; Pseudomonadati; Pseudomonadota; Gammaproteobacteria; Lysobacterales; Lysobacteraceae
Description: bacterial SSU rRNA
Rfam family: Bacterial small subunit ribosomal RNA
Source: RNAcentral